CUCCUCUAGUUCACCUCGGAUAAUGGCGACAGCCGUAGUAGUGAACGUCGGGAAGAAGCUCUACGAGGGUAAAACAAAAGAAGUCUAUGAAUUGUUAGACACCCCAGGCAGAGUCCUCCUGCAGUCCAAGGACCAGAUCACAGCAGGGAAUGCAGCUAGGAAGAACCGCCUGGAAGGCAAAGCUGCCAUCUCCAACAAGAUCACCAGCUGCAUAUUUCAGUUGUUACAGGAAGCUGGUAUAAAAACUGCUUUCACCAAGAAAUGUGGGGAGACUGCCUUCAUUGCACCCCAGUGUGAAAUGAUCCCCAUUGAGUGGGUGUGCCGAAGAAUAGCAACUGGAUCUUUCCUCAAAAGGAACCCUGGUGUACAGGAGGGGUACAAGUUCUAUCCACCCAAAGUGGAGAUGUUCUUCAAGGAUGAUGCCAAUAAUGAUCCGCAGUGGUCGGAGGAGCAACUCAUUGCUGCAAAAUUUUGUUUUGCUGGCCUUGUUAUAGGGCAGACUGAAGUGGACAUCAUGAGUCAUGCCACACAAGCUAUUUUUGAAAUUCUGGAGAAAUCCUGGCUGCCCCAUCAUUGUACGCUGGUUGAUAUGAAGAUUGAAUUUGGCGUUGAUGUAACCACCAAAGAGAUCGUUCUUGCUGAUGUCAUUGAUAAUGAUUCCUGGAGACUAUGGCUAUCGGGCGAUCAGAGCCAGCAGAAGGACAAACAGUCUUACCGUGAUCUCAAAGAAGUAACUCCGGAAGGACUCCAGAUGGUAAAGAAAAACUUUGAGUGGGUUGCAGACCGAGUGGAGUUGCUUCUCAAGUCAGACAGUCAGUGCAGGGUGGUAGUGCUGAUGGACUCCACCUCUGACCUUGGUCACUGUGAGAAAAUUAAGAAGGCUUGUGGAAAUUUUGGGAUUCCGUGUGAACUUAGAGUAACAUCUGUGCAUAAAGGACCAGAUGAGACUUUGAGGAUUAAAGCAGAAUAUGAAGGGGAUGGCGUACCUACUGUAUUUGUCUCUGUGGCGGGCAGAAGCAACGGUCUAGGCCCAGUGCUGUCUGGCAAUACUGCAUAUCCGGUUAUCAGCUGUCCCCCAUCACACCAGACUGGGGUGCUCAGGAUGUGUGGUCAUCUCUUCGACUGCCCAGUGGUAUUGGCUGUUCAACUAUACUUUCUCCAGAAGGAUCUGCUCAGUUUGCUGCUCAGAUAUUUGGGUUAAACAAUCAUUUGGUGUGGGCCAAACUUCGAACGAGCAUAUUAAACACGUGGAUAUCCUUAAAGCAGGCUGAUAAGAAGGUCAGACAAUGCAAUUUGUAAAGAAGCAAUUUAAUUUUUAGGAGAAAAGUUACGUAGUCCUAGUUUGGAUUUAAAGAAAAAAGUCAAGCAAAAUGAUUUCACAUAAGAGAAAACAAUUCAGUUACUAAUAAACAAAUAUUACUCAGUGUUUAUGAGUUGGCACAUUGUCAGUGGAUAUUACUAAUAUUUUCUAGCUCUACAAAGUGAUAUGUCCCUGUAACCUUAGCACUCCAGAGGCUGAGGCAGCAGGAUCUCUUAAGUUCAGGGCCAACUGAGCUGUGUAUUGAGACUCAACUUGCCGUGGAGGGAAUCUUUAUAGUUAGUAAAAUUGGCAUGACACUACUAAAUUUAUUCUCACCCUCUGUAUAGUCACUGUUGGGUAAAUAUGUAAUUAUGAAACUGGAACAAUGUGUCUGCUGUAUGAACCACUAUGAAGAACCAGUGUGGCUCUUUUGCCGAUGACCUGAGUUUGGCUCCCAGCAUCUGUGUAGACUGCCUCACAAUAAAUACCCUUUAAAUCCGGGGA
Molecule: non-coding RNA, 1804 nt
Organism: Mus caroli (Ryukyu mouse)
Lineage: Eukaryota; Metazoa; Chordata; Mammalia; Rodentia; Muridae
Source: RefSeq, a predicted model, not a curated record